UACGAAGGGGGCUAGCGUUGCUCGGAAUUACUGGGCGUAAAGGGCGCGUAGGCGGGUGUUUAAGUCAGAGGUCAAAUCCCAGGGCUCAACCCUGGAACUGCCUUUGAUACUGGGCACCUAGAGUUCGGGAGAGGUGUGUGGAACUCCGAGUGUAGAGGUGAAAUUCGUAGAUAUUCAGAAGAACACCAGUGGCGAAGGCGACACACUGGCCCGAUACUGACGCUGAGGCGCGAAAGCGUGGGGAGCAAACAGG
Molecule: ribosomal RNA, 253 nt
Filed under: uncultured bacterium
Lineage: Bacteria
Description: partial 16S ribosomal RNA
Rfam family: Bacterial small subunit ribosomal RNA
Source: RNAcentral